Molecule: small nucleolar RNA, 87 nt
Organism: Spodoptera frugiperda (fall armyworm)
Lineage: Eukaryota; Metazoa; Arthropoda; Insecta; Lepidoptera; Noctuidae
Source: RefSeq, a predicted model, not a curated record
AACACUUAUAUGAUGACAUUCAACACCAUUUACUGAACAAUCAUGAUAAGAUUUGUUUAACAUGCAUCACCAACUGAGGCUAUAUUC